Long non-coding RNA from Arachis duranensis, 1330 nucleotides. RefSeq lists it as uncharacterized. The record is from RefSeq and is a predicted model, not a curated record. The transcript has 4 exons. Lineage: Eukaryota; Viridiplantae; Streptophyta; Magnoliopsida; Fabales; Fabaceae.
UUUUGACUAAUUGAGUUUAAAGUAAUUUAAGAUUUUAUCUGAUUUUAUAAUUAUCGAAUUAUUUUCUAUAUUUCAAAUUAUAAACCUUAGCAAAUGUAAAAUAAUAAAAAUUUUAUAUAAUAUACUCUAAUUUUAUUAAAAUUUAUUAAAUUCUAAUUUACCCAAAAUUCCUAAUUUUAUUUUUAUCCCAAAUUAAACCCUAAUUCCUAAGUUAAACCCCACAAACCCUAAUUUCCACCACCUCACCGUCACUCACCCUUUUUUCCACCGCCAUUCCCUUCCUAACAGCACUAACACCUAUCAGCUUUGGCAAAAACUAAAGAAAGAAGGAAAGAAAAGAAAAGAGAGGGGGAACGAAGGAACAGAAGGGAGAAAGGAGGGGGAGAGAGGGCCGCGACGGGGGAGAAGAGAAGAGGGGAAGGAGACGCGCCGGUGUUGCUGGGUAUUGCCGCCGCCGUCGCAACCUUGCCGAGCCUUGGAGGGAGACCCCGCCGUUAAGCCGCGUCACCGUCGAACUCGUCCAACCGCGCCACCGCGCUCAGCCCUGUCUCGCGUCGCCACUGUGCCAUGCGUCACCGCCGUUCGCACUGUCAGUUUCGCGCAGGGGAAACCAUGGCCGUUGAGGGUCCAUCCACGCCGUAGCUGAAGCUUGAACGCCGCUGCAACCACCGCGUGUUAUCGUCUUCAAAUCGCCGCCGUUGGAGUCGCGAACAGAGAUCGCGCGCAAGGGAAAUCGUCGAGGAGCUUCCGUCGUCGCCGCGUGCUGGGCUCGCCAUCGUUCUGCCCGCGCAGUUGCUGCGUUGCCGGAGCUCCUCGCCGCCGCUGCUGGCCCCGGAAACCGCCUUUCAAGCCUGUGUCUGUUGGUUAUACGGUCACCGUGAGUCUCUUUGCCGCCGUCCAAGCUGCCAUCAGAAGGAUCCACCACAGCCUCCUCUGUUCUUGUCUUCGAAUCAGUACUGCCCUUUUUCCAGUUUCAAUCCCAAUUCUGCUAUUUCUGAAUAUGUUCCAUUGUAGGUCUAAACUUUGCUGUUUAUGAGUCUUUGAAAGAUUGGUUAGUUAAAUCCAAUCCAUUUGGUCUAGUGCAAGAUUCUGAGUUGAGUGUGACAACUCGCCUGAGUCAAUGGAUUACUAUAAUCAGAAAUGAUGUGUUGAUGGAAAAGGACUUGUUCUGCCCAGUCAGAUUGGAAGCUGUGAAACAUUUUGGUCCUGGUCCUAGUGUUCCUCACAGCCAUACCAAGCCUUAUGUACGAUCUAAGGGAAGGAAGUUUGAGAGGGCUAGAGGAAGAAAGAACAACAAAGGACUUAGUGUUUAAGUUGUAUUGUUUCUGUA